GAUCGCUAUUUGCUCCCAGGGUACGUUAGAGCGGGGGAACCAUUUUUUGGGGCGUAUUUUCUUCAGGGUCACACUUAUAGCAUUUAGCUUUCACCCCGGAGAAGAAGGACAUCUCUCAGUCCUAGCCCGUCAGCUAACCCCGUCGGCAUCGAGAGGAGACUGA
RNAcentral lists this small RNA (163 nucleotides) under Cyanothece sp. Its description in RNAcentral is "c-di-AMP sequence". It matches the Rfam family "c-di-AMP riboswitch aptamer (ydaO/yuaA leader)". Rfam says of the family: This family represents a conserved RNA structure found upstream of the ydaO and yuaA genes in Bacillus subtilis and related genes in other bacteria. The ydaO/yuaA element is thought to act as a genetic "off" switch for the ydaO and yuaA genes in its native state. The record is from RNAcentral. Lineage: Bacteria; Bacillati; Cyanobacteriota; Cyanophyceae; Gomontiellales; Cyanothecaceae.